AUUGAAGUGAGGCUGACUAAAGUUUGUGUCUGUGGAGAUGGGAGUUUGUAGACUGUGGUCAUCAUGGAACUGGCAUGGACCUGACCUAGACAGUGAUGGUCGCUGGGGAUGGCUUUGAUGGCUGCUCUCUUGUGGAAAAUGCUAAAACUCAUCACUAAAUCUCCCCUUCAAUGGUUUUGCAUGCAUGUUCGUUUCAUCACACACUCUCAC
Molecule: non-coding RNA, 210 nt
Organism: Puma concolor (puma)
Lineage: Eukaryota; Metazoa; Chordata; Mammalia; Carnivora; Felidae
Source: RefSeq, a predicted model, not a curated record